UUCAAAAUUGAUUUUAAAUAUGUUCUAUUGAAUUUUAAAUUAUAAAUAGAAUAUUUAAAUAGAUUCAAAAAUGGAUAGAUGCUUUUUAAAUUCUGGUAAUGUAUCCAUUUCUUCAGUGGGUUAUCCAGUUAUUCAUCCGACCAAAGAGAAUUUUUCAUAUGAAACAUGGAAUUGUUAUAAAAUGAAUGUUCUGUGCCAAGAUAAUGACGAAGAGACACGGAAGAAAACUCUGCAAUCAUUAUGUGAUCUAUUAUAUGAUCCUCGAAAUGCUUAUCAAUAUCUUAGAAGAGGGCUUCGGGAGAAUUUAGAAAGUACGUGGACAGAUUCGGAUGAAUUUAUAUGUACAAAAGGGGCAGAAAUUCUUAGCAUAAUUACAGUUACACCAGCGGGAAGGAAAGCAUUUUUAGCUUUUGAUUUAAUUGAAGGAGCCAUACUAUUAUUAGAUAAUGUGUUGCAAAACGUUAGAAAACACGCAUAUACAACACUUAGAAAUUUAUCAUGUAAUCCAGAAGGUUCAGCAGCUAUCGUUUAUCAUGAUUUAAUCACCAUUCUGAUAAAGAAACUGAAAGAAGAAAAUGAUGAAAACAAAGAAAUUAUUCUCGAAAUUAUUCACGAAUGUUUGAAAAUCAACGCUCUUAAAACCGAAAAAGUACUGAAUGCCGGAGCUAUAGCCAUUAUAAUGGAACUAUUUGAAAGUGAUUCUAUUGUAAUAAAGCGAAAGGCAGCUAUCGUCAUGGCGGAUUUAUGCACGAUCGAACUCGGUAAAACUAUCGCGUGUGAACAGGCAUUAGAUGCUGUUAUAAAUCAUCUAAAAGAAACCACGGAUUCUGAAUUCAGAACGGAACUAUGUUACUUAUUAGUGAUGAUAACGGUAAUAAUUAAAGGAAAGUUUAAAGCUGUAGAAGGUAACGCUCUUCCACUUCUCUUAUCUAUACUAGAAGAUUCUAGUGUAGAAACACGCAAAAAUUGUCUAAAGGCAAUUACUAUGUUAGCAGAAGUUCCAACAGGAAGAGAAUUCUUCUUGAAAAAUAUCAAAGAGAUACGCCAUUUGCUGUCUGAUCCGGAUAAAGAAAUCAGAGAAAUCGCUGAAGUUGCGUACGAAGUCAUAAUUUGGAAGCCGAAUUGAAAUGAUAUUACCAAAAUGGCGGAGUACACCUUACGUCAAUUUGUCGUCAUUUACGAUUAUGGUUAAAUAUAAUGACGUCAAAUUGACUACGUAAAUCACAUAAUUUACAUAAUUACCGUGCAUGUGGAGGGAGUGAUUUAGUGUUAUAAGAGCGUAGAGUUUAGUCG
This 1293-nucleotide unclassified non-coding RNA is filed under the name Centruroides sculpturatus (bark scorpion). RNAcentral describes it as "radial spoke head 14 homolog, transcript variant X2". Lineage: Eukaryota; Metazoa; Arthropoda; Arachnida; Scorpiones; Buthidae. The record is from RNAcentral.